UUUGUGAGCUAAAGCUGCCUAUUUAAUGCUUAGGAACAUCUGCCAUUUCAGUAGAAUUUCCUGCUGCUUUCCGCGGCCAUCAGCCUUUCCCUAUGUCUGCUUGCACAGCGUUGAACUGUGGGGCAAUUUUAAACUCUCUGGCAGUGAUAGGGUUAAACAGGGAGAUUAUCGUUACAUGAUCUGAAUUCAUGAAUAAGCAGUUUGCAUCAGUCACACUUCUGAAUACAUUGUUAUUAGCUACAUUGGUUUGAUCGUAGGGGUGGAGGCAUGGUAACGUUGCUAUGAUGAGUGCUUACUUUGAGUUGCUAAUACUGAGGCAUCUUGGAAUGGAGAGCCAUUAGUGCAAUAGUUGUACUUAAAAGAGAGGCACAAUACACUGCUGUGAAAGUGUAUUCCCAAUUUCUUCUAUUUUUGCAUCAUUGCCACACAUGAAUGUCUCAGAUUAUCAAACGAAUUUUAAUAUUAGACAAAGAUAAUCCAAAUAAACAGAAAAUGUAGUUUUAAAAUGAUUGCAUGUCCCUUGGUUACUAAGUAAAUCAAUUAACCAAACUGAAUUGUAAAUUGAGUUCAAUUUCAUUAGACACACCACGGCAAGAUUAUUACAA
This is a long non-coding RNA of Spea bombifrons (plains spadefoot toad), 605 nucleotides long. RefSeq lists it as uncharacterized. The transcript has 2 exons. Lineage: Eukaryota; Metazoa; Chordata; Amphibia; Anura; Pelobatidae. The record is from RefSeq and is a predicted model, not a curated record.